CGUCCGUCGUGAAGAGGGAAACAACCCAGACCGCCAGCUAAGGUCCCAAAGUCAUGGUUAAGUGGGAAACGAUGUGGGAAGGCACAGACAGCCAGGAUGUUGGCUUAGAAGCAGCCAUCAUUUAAAGAAAGCGUAAUAGCUCACUGGUCGAGUCGGCCUGCGCGGAAGAUGUAACGGGGCUAAACCAUGCACCGAAGCUGCGGCAGCGACACUAUGUGUUGUUGGGUAGGGGAGCGUUCUGUAAGCCUGCGAAGGUGUGCUGUGAGGCAUGCUGGAGGUAUCAGAAGUGCGAAUGCUGACAUAAGUAACGAUAAAGCGGGUGAAAAGCCCGCUCGCCGGAAGACCAAGGGUUCCUGUCCAACGUUAAUCGGGGCAGGGUGAGUCGACCCCUAAGGCGAGGCCGAAAGGCGUAGUCGAUGGGAAACAGGUUAAUAUUCCUGUACUUGGUGUUACUGCGAAGGGGGGACGGAGAAGGCUAUGUUAGCCGGGCGACGGUUGUCCCGGUUUAAGCAUGUAGGCUGAUUGUCCAGGCAAAUCCGGAUAAUCAAGGCUGAGGUGUGAUGACGAGGCACUACGGUGCUGAAGUAACAAAUGCCCUGCUUCCAGGAAAAGCCUCUAAGCAUCAGGUAACAUCAAAUCGUACCCCAAACCGACACAGGUGGUCAGGUAGAGAAUACCAAGGCGCUUGAGAGAACUCGGGUGAAGGAACUAGGCAAAAUGGUGCCGUAACUUCGGGAGAAGGCACGCUGGUGUGUAGGUGAAGUCCCUGCGGAUGGAGCUGAGACCAGUCGAAGAUACCAGCUGGCUGCAACUGUUUAUUAAAAACACAGCACUGUGCAAACACGAAAGUGGACGUAUACGGUGUGACGCCUGCCCGGUGCCGGAAGGUUAAUUGAUGGGGUUAUCCGUAAGGAGAAGCUCUUGAUCGAAGCCCCGGUAAACGGCGGCCGUAACUAUAACGGUCCUAAGGUAGCGAAAUUCCUUGUCGGGUAAGUUCCGACCUGCACGAAUGGCGUAAUGAUGGCCAGGCUGUCUCCACCCGAGACUCAGUGAAAUUGAACUCGCUGUGAAGAUGCAGUGUACCCGCGGCAAGACGGAAAGACCCCGUGAACCUUUACUAUAGCUUGACACUGAACAUUGAGCCUUGAUGUGUAGGAUAGGUGGGAGGCUUUGAAGCGUGGACGCCAGUCUGCGUGGAGCCAACCUUGAAAUACCACCCUUUAAUGUUUGAUGUUCUAACGUUGGCCCCUGACCGGGGUUGCGGACAGUGUCUGGUGGGUAGUUUGACUGGGGCGGUCUCCUCCCAAAGCGUAACGGAGGAGCACGAAGGUUAGCUAAUCCUGGUCGGACAUCAGGAGGUUAGUGCAAUGGCAUAAGCUAGCUUGACUGCGAGCGUGACGGCGCGAGCAGGUGCGAAAGCAGGUCAUAGUGAUCCGGUGGUUCUGAAUGGAAGGGCCAUCGCUCAACGGAUAAAAGGUACUCCGGGGAUAACAGGCUGAUACCGCCCAAGAGUUCAUAUCGACGGCGGUGUUUGGCACCUCGAUGUCGGCUCAUCACAUCCUGGGGCUGAAGUAGGUCCCAAGGGUAUGGCUGUUCGCCAUUUAAAGUGGUACGCGAGCUGGGUUUAGAACGUCGUGAGACAGUUCGGUCCCUAUCUGCCGUGGGCGCUGGAGAAUUGAGGGGGGCUGCUCCUAGUACGAGAGGACCGGAGUGGACGCAUCACUGGUGUUCGGGUUGUCAUGCCAAUGGCACUGCCCGGUAGCUAAAUGCGGAAGAGAUAAGUGCUGAAAGCAUCUAAGCACGAAACUUGCCCCGAGAUGAGUUCUCCCUGAGACUAUAAGUCUCCUGAAGGAACGUUGAAGACGACGACGUUGAUAGGCCGGGUGUGUAAGCGCAGCGAUGCGUUGAGCUAACCGGUACUAAUGAACCGUGAGGCUUAACCUU
RNAcentral lists this ribosomal RNA (1944 nucleotides) under Klebsiella pneumoniae CHS 16. RNAcentral describes it as "bacterial LSU rRNA". It matches the Rfam family "Bacterial large subunit ribosomal RNA", at positions 1002 to 2925 of the family's 2925-position model. Lineage: Bacteria; Pseudomonadati; Pseudomonadota; Gammaproteobacteria; Enterobacterales; Enterobacteriaceae. The record is from RNAcentral.